RNAcentral lists this ribosomal RNA (809 nucleotides) under uncultured Pelagibacteraceae bacterium. Its description in RNAcentral is "bacterial SSU rRNA". It matches the Rfam family "Bacterial small subunit ribosomal RNA", at positions 32 to 889 of the family's 1533-position model. The record is from RNAcentral. Lineage: Bacteria; Pseudomonadati; Pseudomonadota; Alphaproteobacteria; Candidatus Pelagibacterales; Candidatus Pelagibacteraceae.
UACGCUGGCGGCACGCCUUAUACAUGCAAGUCGAACGAAGUAGCAAUACUUAGUGGCAGACGGGUGAGUAACAUGUGGGUAUCUUCCCUUUGGUGAGGAAUAACACGAGGAAACUUGUGCUAAUACCUCAUAAGUCUUUACGGAGAAAGCUUUAUGCGCCAAUGGAUGAGCCCGCACUUGAUUAGUUUGUUGGUGGGGUAAUGGCCUACCAAGACUUUGAUCAAUAGCUGAUUUGAGAGGAUGAUCAGCCACAUUGGGACUGAGACACGGCCCAAACUCCUACGGGAGGCAGCAGUAAGGAAUCUUGCACAAUGGAGGAAACUCUGAUGCAGCGAUGCCGCGUGAGUGAAGAAGGCCUUUGGGUUGUAAAGCUCUUUCGUCGGGGAAGAAAAUGACUGUACCCGAAUAAGAAGGUCCGGCUAACUUCGUGCCAGCAGCCGCGGUAAUACGAAGGGACCUAGCGUAGUUCGGAAUUACUGGGCUUAAAGAGUUCGUAGGUGGUUAAAAAAGUUGGUAGUGAAAUCCCAGAGCUUAACUCUGGAACUGCUAUCAAAACUUUUUAGCUAGAGUAUGAUAGAGGAAAGCAGAAUUUCUAGUGUAGAGGUGAAAUUCGUAGAUAUUAGAAAGAAUACCGAUUGCGAAGGCAGCUUUCUGGAUCAUUACUGACACUGAGGAACGAAAGCAUGGGUAGCGAAGAGGAUUAGAUACCCUCGUAGUCCAUGCCGUAAACGAUGUGUGUUAGACGUUGGAAAUUUAUUUUCAGUGUCGCAGCGAAAGCGAUAAACACACCGCCUGGGGAGUACGACCGC